GACGAACGCUGGCGGCGUGCCUAAUACAUGCAAGUAGAACGGAGUUGCGAACGGGUGAGUAACGCGUAGGUAAAUGGCUCAUAGGGGGGGAUAAAUAUUGGAAACGAUAGCUAAUACCGCAUACAGUGAGAUGGACGUGCGUUGUAUUAGCUAGGUGGUGAGGUAAAGGCUCACCAAGGCGACGAUACAUAGCCUACCUGAGAGGGUGAUCCGACACCCUUGGACUGAGACCCGGCUCCGACCCCCACGGGAGGCAGCCGUUGGGAAUCUUCGGCAAUGGACGGCAGUCUGACCGAGCCACGCCGCGUGAUUGAAGAAGGUCUUCCGAUCUUUAAGCUCUGUUCUUAGAGAAGCGGUACCUACCCAGAAAGCGCCGGCUAACUACGUGCCAGCAGCCGCGGUAAUAC
This 407-nucleotide ribosomal RNA is filed under the name uncultured bacterium. RNAcentral describes it as "partial 16S ribosomal RNA". It matches the Rfam family "Bacterial small subunit ribosomal RNA", at positions 28 to 526 of the family's 1533-position model. The record is from RNAcentral.